This 73-nucleotide non-coding RNA is filed under the name Candidatus Chisholmiibacteriota. The record is from RNAcentral.
AGUGAGGAUUAAGGAACUCCGUGAGACUCGGAGGCUGUGCCGCAACGGUUAAAGCCCGGAACUUAACCUCACU